GGUAUUUUGACUAUACGAAGGUAUUGAAAUAAGGCUUUAAUUGAGUGCUAAGAGAAUGGUUAAACAAGGAUUAACUUUCUUUAUGUUUAAAAUGUAAGUUGAUUUAAAAAUGAAAAAGUUUUUAUGAGUUUUUGGGACAAGAAGACCCUAUGAAUUUUUUUUUAAAAAAAAUUUAUAAUUUUUUAUAAAAUUGAGUAAGUAUUGUUUGAAAUUAAUUGGGGUGAUUUUUAAAGUUUAUAAAUCUUUAAAGUUAGAAGGAAUUAGAACCAAAAAUUUUGGUUUUUUGAAUAAAAUACUCUAGGGAUAACAGCGUUAUUAUUUUGGAUAGUUCAUAUAGAUAAAAUAGUUUGCGACCUCGAUGUUGGAUUAAGAUACUUUUGUAAUGUAGCAGUUAUAAGGGGAAGUUUGCUCAACUUUUAAAAUCUU
Molecule: ribosomal RNA, 426 nt
Filed under: Alectorobius rietcorreai
Lineage: Eukaryota; Metazoa; Arthropoda; Arachnida; Ixodida; Argasidae
Description: Ornithodoros rietcorreai partial large subunit ribosomal RNA
Rfam family: Bacterial large subunit ribosomal RNA (bases 303-426)
Source: RNAcentral